CCCUCCUGUUGCAACGCUGCCGGAGUCUAAUAGCCUUAAUUGACGUUAGGUGUCUUGAUGCUCCAGCGCUGUAUCUCGUCUUAGCUCAUUUUGCAAGAGCUACUUAACCUAAUUACAGAGGAGAAGACAAUUCAAGCCCACGGCUGGCAGUGAACUGGGGGGGGGGUGGACACAUAUGCUUUUGUCAUGUGUCCUCGUGCGUGAUUUUUACAAGACUAAAAAAUUCCUUCUUACUUGAAAAGCAUAAACUCUGCCUGGACAAGGACAGGCAAACAAAUGGGCAAGCGUGCCCGCCCCAGCUGUGCCUCCGCCAAGCGUCACUCCCUGGUGUCAGCCAGGGCAGUGGCGAACCUUUACUGUUGCAGGCACCGUUGCUCCAUACCAUGAAGACCAAUUAUGUGGCGAAAGCAGGCCUGCCUUGGCAGGAGAAGUACGGUGAACUACUUCAGCUAUUGCUGCUUGCAAUUUUGAAGUUAGCUGAAGAGAGGAUGACACUUUUCUCCAUUGAAAGAGGAAUGGGAACUUCCCCUAGGCUUCUUCCUAAUUUUUAUGUAAGUAGAGCCGCAAAUAAAUUUUCUUAGCAAUGUACUAAACAGCACAGCUGUGGAAAUCUUGUCAUUUGGCUGGAUAGAGAGCCACUCAGGACUCAGUGGGAAUAAUAAUUACGUUCUCCCACCCUUUCGUCUUCUCUCCUCAGGUUGCUAGCACCCCGGGGGAGAUGGCCCUGCUCUUUGCCCUGUGUCAACUGUACCAGGCCCUGGAGAGAGCUGGGGGCAGAAUAAAAUCUCCAGCUUGUGAUAGCUCUCCA
This 808-nucleotide long non-coding RNA is filed under the name Struthio camelus australis. RNAcentral describes it as "lncRNA (ENSSCUG00000007954.1)". Lineage: Eukaryota; Metazoa; Chordata; Aves; Struthioniformes; Struthionidae. The record is from RNAcentral.